CUGGAGGUAUCAGAAGUGCGAAUGCUGACAUAAGUAACGAUAAAGCGGGUGAAAAGCCCGCUCGCCGGAAGACCAAGGGUUCCUGUCCAACGUUAAUCGGGGCAGGGUGAGUCGACCCCUAAGGCGAGGCCGAAAGGCGUAGUCGAUGGGAAACGGGUUAAUAUUCCCGUACUUGGUGUUACUGCGAAGGGGGGACGGAGAAGGCUAUGUUGGCCGGGCGACGGUUGUCCCGGUUUAAGCGUGUAGGUGUGUGUUCCAGGUAAAUCCGGUUCACUUUAACACUGAGGCGUGAUGACGAGGCACUACGGUGCUGAAGCAACAAAUGCCCUGCUUCCAGGAAAAGCCUCUAAGCAUCAGGUAACAUCAAAUCGUACCCCAAACCGACACAGGUGGUCAGGUAGAGAAUACCAAGGCGCUUGAGAGAACUCGGGUGAAGGAACUAGGCAAAAUGGUGCCGUAACUUCGGGAGAAGGCACGCUGACACGUAGGUGAAGUGAUUUACUCAUGGAGCUGAAGUCAGUCGAAGAUACCAGCUGGCUGCAACUGUUUAUUAAAAACACAGCACUGUGCAAACACGAAAGUGGACGUAUACGGUGUGACGCC
RNAcentral lists this ribosomal RNA (603 nucleotides) under Salmonella enterica. Its description in RNAcentral is "partial 23S ribosomal RNA". It matches the Rfam family "Bacterial large subunit ribosomal RNA", at positions 1273 to 1859 of the family's 2925-position model. Lineage: Bacteria; Pseudomonadati; Pseudomonadota; Gammaproteobacteria; Enterobacterales; Enterobacteriaceae. The record is from RNAcentral.